RNAcentral lists this transfer-messenger RNA (394 nucleotides) under Sphingomonas sp. It matches the Rfam family "Alphaproteobacteria transfer-messenger RNA". Rfam says of the family: Bacterial tmRNA, also known as 10Sa RNA or SsrA, is named for its dual tRNA and mRNA-like properties. The record is from RNAcentral. Lineage: Bacteria; Pseudomonadati; Pseudomonadota; Alphaproteobacteria; Sphingomonadales; Sphingomonadaceae.
UUGCUUGAGAUUUUGGUGCAAAAUCCUUAUCUUGGGCGUGCCGGGCAACCGGCUAUGUCGGUAGAUGGUCAGGUGGAAUAGGCACUUCGGACCCGGGGGGCAGUACCCCGGCGCCUCCACCAUCAGCGGCGCGCAUGUGGUCGAUAUGUGCGAUGUUGUUGAUGGGGGCGAAACAGGAUCGACGAGUGCAAUAAAGGCCCGACUGCCGAUCGGAUUGAGUCACCGCAACGGCUCAUUCACACAAGUGCCAACGAUAACGAGGCGCUCGCUCUUGCUGCGUAACUGACGGCCUAACGGUCUGAAGUUACAAAGCUAAAGCGCGGUCGGACCCCACCGGGCAACAGAAGGGGAUUCCAGCGGUUCGGGGAGCACCGGGCAACAGAAGCUCCCCACU